RNAcentral lists this microRNA precursor (90 nucleotides) under Canis lupus dingo (dingo). Its description in RNAcentral is "mir-8799 microRNA precursor family". It matches the Rfam family "mir-8799 microRNA precursor family". Lineage: Eukaryota; Metazoa; Chordata; Mammalia; Carnivora; Canidae. The record is from Rfam by way of RNAcentral.
GGGGGGAGGCCGCAUCCUGGGCUGUGUCCUGGCGCCCUGUGCUCCUGGGCCUGCGCUGUUGGAUUUGCGCUCCCGGCCCCGCAGCCCCCU